AGAGUUUGAUCCUGGCUCAGAUUGAACGCUGGCGGCAUGCCUUACACAUGCAAGUCGAACGGCAGCACGGGAGCAAUCCUGGUGGCGAGUGGCGAACGGGUGAGUAAUAUAUCGGAACGUGCCCAGUCGUGGGGGAUAACGCAGCGAAAGUUGCGCUAAUACCGCAUACGAUCUAUGGAUGAAAGCGGGGGAUCGCAAGACCUCGCGCGAUUGGAGCGGCCGAUAUCAGAUUAGCUUGUUGGUGAGGUAAAAGCUCACCAAGGCGACGAUCUGUAGCUGGUCUGAGAGGACGACCAGCCACACUGGGACUGAGACACGGCCCAGACUCCUACGGGAGGCAGCAGUGGGGAAUUUUGGACAAUGGGCGCAAGCCUGAUCCAGCAAUGCCGCGUGCAGGAUGAAGGCCUUCGGG
This 412-nucleotide ribosomal RNA is filed under the name uncultured bacterium. RNAcentral describes it as "bacterial SSU rRNA". It matches the Rfam family "Bacterial small subunit ribosomal RNA", at positions 8 to 422 of the family's 1533-position model. The record is from RNAcentral.